UUUUAAAAAUUUCCAUCAAUUUCUACUGUUAAAAACUGGUUCCUAUACGUCAGUAUGAGUUACACAUACCCAGCCAUGUGUCAUUGUCAGGUUAUUUCGUUAACCAUGCCAAUUUUUAAUAGUAAAAAUGGAUUAAAUUUUUAACA
This 146-nucleotide microRNA precursor is filed under the name Gossypium hirsutum (cotton). Its description in RNAcentral is "MIR7502 microRNA precursor family". It matches the Rfam family "MIR7502 microRNA precursor family". The record is from Rfam by way of RNAcentral. Lineage: Eukaryota; Viridiplantae; Streptophyta; Magnoliopsida; Malvales; Malvaceae.